Molecule: ribosomal RNA, 231 nt
Filed under: Bacillus paranthracis
Lineage: Bacteria; Bacillati; Bacillota; Bacilli; Caryophanales; Bacillaceae
Description: partial 16S ribosomal RNA
Rfam family: Bacterial small subunit ribosomal RNA
Source: RNAcentral
CUGGGCUACACACGUGCUACAAUGGACGGUACAAAGAGCUGCAAGACCCCGAGGUGGAGCUAAACUCAUAAAACCGUUCUCAGUUCGGAUUGUAGGCUGCAACUCGCCUACAUGAAGCUGGAAUCUCAAGUAAUCGCGGAUCAGCAUGCCGCGGUGAAUACGUUCCCGGGCCUAGGACACACCGCCCGUCACACCACGAGAGUUUGAAACAAACCAACAAGGAGGGGUAAC